Molecule: ribosomal RNA, 471 nt
Filed under: uncultured bacterium
Lineage: Bacteria
Description: bacterial SSU rRNA
Rfam family: Bacterial small subunit ribosomal RNA
Source: RNAcentral
ACUCGACUCCUACGGGAGGCAGCAGUGGGGAAUAUUGCACAAUGGGCGCAAGCCUGAUGCAGCCAUGCCGCGUGUGUGAAGAAGGCCUUCGGGUUGUAAAGCACUUUCAGUUGUGAGGAAAGGUUAGUCGCUAAUAUCGGCUAGCUGUGACGUUAGCAACAGAAGAAGCACCGGCUAACUCCGUGCCAGCAGCCGCGGUAAUACGGAGGGAGCGAGCGUUAAUCGGAAUUACUGGGCGUAAAGCGCACGUAGGCGGCUUUGUAAGUCGGAUGUGAAAGCCCCGGGCUUAACCUGGGAAUGGCAUUCGAUACUGCAGAGCUAGAGUAUGGUAGAGGGAAGUGGAAUUUCCGGUGUAGCGGUGAAAUGCGUAGAUAUCGGAAGGAACACCGGUGGCGAAGGCGACUUCCUGGGCCAAUACUGACGCUGAGGUGCGAAAGCGUGGGUAGCAAACAGGAUUAGAUACCCUGGUAG